RNAcentral lists this ribosomal RNA (434 nucleotides) under uncultured Lachnospiraceae bacterium. RNAcentral's name for it is "bacterial SSU rRNA". It matches the Rfam family "Bacterial small subunit ribosomal RNA", at positions 341 to 792 of the family's 1533-position model. The record is from RNAcentral. Lineage: Bacteria; Bacillati; Bacillota; Clostridia; Lachnospirales; Lachnospiraceae.
ACGGAAGGCAGCAGUGGGGAAUAUUGCACAAUGGGCGAAAGCCUGAUGCAGCGACGCCGCGUGAACGAAGAAGUAUUUCGGUAUGUAAAGUUCUAUCAGCAGGGAAGAUAAUGACGGUACCUGACUAAGAAGCACCGGCUAAAUACGUGCCAGCAGCCGCGGUAAUACGUAUGGUGCAAGCGUUAUCCGGAUUUACUGGGUGUAAAGGGAGCGCAGGCGGCGCGGCAAGUCUGAAGUGAAAUCCCGGGGCUCAACCCCGGAACUGCUUUGGAAACUGUCGUGCUAGAGUGUAGGAGGGGUAAGCGGAAUUCCUAGUGUAGCGGUGAAAUGCGUAGAUAUUAGGAGGAACACCAGUGGCGAAGGCGGCUUACUGGACGAUAACUGACGCUGAGGCUCGAAAGCGUGGGGAGCAAACAGGAUUAGAUACCCUGGUA